AUUGAACGCUGGCGGCAUGCCUUACACAUGCAAGUCGAACGGUAACAGGUCUUCGGAUGCUGACGAGUGGCGAACGGGUGAGUAAUACAUCGGAACGUGCCUAGUCGUGGGGGAUAACUACUCGAAAGAGUGGCUAAUACCGCAUGAGAUCUACGGAUGAAAGCAGGGGAUCGCAAGACCUUGUGCUACUAGAGCGGCCGAUGGCAGAUUAGGUAGUUGGUGGGAUAAAAGCUUACCAAGCCGACGAUCUGUAGCUGGUCUGAGAGGACGAUCAGCCACACUGGGACGGAGACACGGCCCAGACUCCUACGGGAGGCAGCAGUGGGGAAUUUUGGACAAUGGGCACAAGCCUGAUACAGCAAUGCCGCGUGCAGGAUGAAGGCCUUCGGGUUGUAAACUGCUUUUGUACGGAACGAAAAGCCCCGGGUUAAUACCCUGGGGUCAUGACGGUACCGUAAGAAUAAGCACCGGCUAACUACGUGCCAGCCGCCGCCGUAA
Molecule: ribosomal RNA, 498 nt
Filed under: uncultured bacterium
Lineage: Bacteria
Description: partial 16S ribosomal RNA
Rfam family: Bacterial small subunit ribosomal RNA
Source: RNAcentral